UUCCGGUUGAUCCUGCCGGCGGGCACCGCUAUCGGUAUGCGAUUAAGGCAUGCGAGUCGGUAAAGCCAUGAUGGGCGCACGGCUGAGUAACACGCGGAUAAUCUGCCCUGAAGUGGGGGAUAACCUCGGAAAACUGAGAAUAAUACCCCAUAGGUCUGGAAUGCUGGAAUGCUUCCAGGUUGAAAGGAUUAGGUGCUUCAGGAUGAGUCUGCGGCCUAUCAGGUUGUAGUGGGUGUAACGGACCCACUAGCCCACGACGGGUAGGGGCGUUGAGAGACGGAGCCCCCAGAUGGAUUCUGAGACACGAAUCCAGGCCCUACGGGGCGCAGCAGCUACGAAAACUGCACAAUGUGGGAAACCACGAUGCGGGCAUUCCGAGUGCUAACGCAUUAGGUUGGCUGUUCUUUCGCCUAAAAAGCGAGAGAAGUAAGGGCCGGGUAAGAUCGGGUGCCAGCCGCCGCGGUAAUACCCGCGGCCCGAGUGGUGCUCAAUAUUAUUGAGCUUAAAGCGUCCGUAGCCAGCCCUGUAAAUCCUUGGGUAAAUCGGGCAGCUCAACUGUUCGAAUUCCGAGGAGACUGCAGGGCUCGGGACCGGGAGAGGUUAGAGGUACUCUUGGGGUAGGGGUAAAAUCCUGUAAUCCUGAGAGGACCACCAGUGGCGAAGGCGUCUAACUGGAACGGAUCCGACGGUGAGGAACGAAGCCCUGGGGCGCAAACGGGAUUAGAUACCCCGGUAGUCCAGGGUGUAAACGCUGCGGGCUUGGUGUCGGGGGUCCUACGGGGGCGCCCGGUGCCGGAGAGAAAUUGUUAAGCCUGCCGCUUGGGGAGUACGGUCGCAAGACUGAAACUUAAAGGAAUUGGCGGGGGAGCACCGCAACGGGAGGAGCGUGCGGUUCAAUUGGAGUCAACGCCGGA
This 914-nucleotide ribosomal RNA is filed under the name uncultured archaeon. RNAcentral's name for it is "bacterial SSU rRNA". It matches the Rfam family "Archaeal small subunit ribosomal RNA", at positions 1 to 922 of the family's 1478-position model. The record is from RNAcentral.